GACGAACGCUGGCGGCGUGCUUAACACAUGCAAGUCGAACGAAGUGGCGAACGGGUGAGUAACGCGUAAUCAACCUGCCCUUCAGAGGGGGACAACAGUUGGCAACGACUGCUACUACCGCAUACUGAAGGAGGGGAUUGCGUCUGAUUCGCUAGGUGGGGGGGUAACGGCCCACCAAGGCGAUGUUCGGGUGCCGGUCUGGGAGGAUGAACGGCCAAAUUGGGACUGAGACACGGCCCAGACUCCUACGGGAGGCAGCAGUGGGGAAUCGUCCGAAAUGGACGACAGUCUGACGGAGCAACGCCGCGUGAGUGAUGACGGCCUUCGGGUUGUAAAGCUCUGUUAAUCGGGACGCGGUACCGGAAUAGAAAGCCACGGCUAACUACGUGCCAGCAGCCGCGGUAAUUC
RNAcentral lists this ribosomal RNA (408 nucleotides) under uncultured bacterium. Its description in RNAcentral is "partial 16S ribosomal RNA". It matches the Rfam family "Bacterial small subunit ribosomal RNA", at positions 28 to 526 of the family's 1533-position model. The record is from RNAcentral.